This 501-nucleotide ribosomal RNA is filed under the name uncultured bacterium. RNAcentral's name for it is "partial 16S ribosomal RNA". It matches the Rfam family "Bacterial small subunit ribosomal RNA", at positions 30 to 523 of the family's 1533-position model. The record is from RNAcentral.
AUUGAACGCUGGCGGCAUGCCUUACACAUGCAAGUCGAACGGCAGCACGGGAGCAAUCCUGGUGGCGAGUGGCGAACGGGUGAGUAAUAUAUCGGAACGUGCCCAGUAGUGGGGGAUAACUGCUCGAAAGAGCAGCUAAUACCGCAUACGACCUGAGGGUGAAAGGGGGGGAUCGCAAGACCUCUCGCUAUUGGAGCGGCCGAUAUCAGAUUAGCUAGUUGGUGGGGUAAAGGCCUACCAAGGCAACGAUCUGUAGUUGGUCUGAGAGGACGACCAGCCACACUGGGACUGAGACACGGCCCAGACUCCUACGGGAGGCAGCAGUGGGGAAUUUUGGACAAUGGGCGCAAGCCUGAUCCAGCAAUGCCGCGUGCAGGAAGAAGGCCUUCGGGUUGUAAACUGCUUUUGUCAGGGAAGAAAUCCUCUAGGUUAAUACCCUUGGGGGGAUGACGGUACCUGAAGAAUAAGCACCGGCUAACUACGUGCCAGCCGCCGCGGUAA